CAGUAGCCGCGGUAAUACGAAGAGGGCUAGCGUUGCUCGGAAUGACUGGGCGUAAAGGGCGCGUAGGCGGAUUGCGCAGUCAGAUGUGAAAUUCCUGGGCUUAACCUGGGGACUGCAUUUGAGACGCGUAGUCUAGAGUGUGGAAGAGGGUCGUGGAAUUCCCAGUGUAGAGGUGAAAUUCGUAGAUAUUGGGAAGAACACCGGUGGCGAAGGCGGCGACCUGGUUCAUAACUGACGCUGAGGCGCGAAAGCAUGGGGAGCGAACAGGAUUAGAUACCCCUGUAGUCCCUGUCUCUUAUAC
This 301-nucleotide ribosomal RNA is filed under the name uncultured bacterium. RNAcentral describes it as "partial 16S ribosomal RNA". It matches the Rfam family "Bacterial small subunit ribosomal RNA", at positions 509 to 807 of the family's 1533-position model. The record is from RNAcentral.